GACGAACGCUGGCGGCGUGCUUAACACAUGCAAGUCGAACGGAAAGGCCCUGCUUUUGUGGGGUGCUCGAGUGGCGAACGGGUGAGUAACACGUGAGUAACCUGCCCUUGACUUUGGGAUAACUUCAGGAAACUGGGGCUAAUACCGGAUAGGAGCUCCUGCUGCAUGGUGGGGGUUGGAAAGUUUCGGCGGUUGGGGAUGGACUCGCGGCUUAUCAGCUUGUUGGUGGGGUAGUGGCUUACCAAGGCUUUGACGGGUAGCCGGCCUGAGAGGGUGACCGGGCACAGGGGGAUGGGGAAGGGGCCAGAGCGCCGAGGGGGGGCAGGGGGGGGGAAAUUGGCAAAAGGGGGGGAGGCUGGGGGGAGGACCGCCGGGGGGGGGAGGACGGCUUGGGGGUGGGAAACGGGUUGGGCCGGGAACAAGGGGGGAGGAAGGGAAAUGGGUAAAAAAAACCGGGUAAAUAAGGG
This 467-nucleotide ribosomal RNA is filed under the name uncultured bacterium. RNAcentral describes it as "partial 16S ribosomal RNA". The stretch from base 20 to 329 matches the Rfam family "Bacterial small subunit ribosomal RNA", at positions 47 to 358 of the family's 1533-position model. The record is from RNAcentral.